ACUCCUACGGGAGGCAGCAGUGGGGAAUAUUGCACAAUGGGCGCAAGCCUGAUGCAGCCAUGCCGCGUGUGUGAAGAAGGCCUUCGGGUUGUAAAGCACUUUCAGUUGUGAGGAAGGUGGUGUCGUUAAUAGCGGCAUCAUUUGACGUUAGCAACAGAAGAAGCACCGGCUAACUCCGUGCCAGCAGCCGCGGUAAUACGGAGGGUGCGAGCGUUAAUCGGAAUUACUGGGCGUAAAGCGCAUGCAGGUGGUUUGUUAAGUCAGAUGUGAAAGCCCGGGGCUCAACCUCGGAACUGCAUUUGAAACUGGCAGACUAGAGUACUGUAGAGGGGGGUAGAAUUUCAGGUGUAGCGGUGAAAUGCGUAGAGAUCUGAAGGAAUACCGGUGGCGAAGGCGGCCCCCUGGACAGAUACUGACACUCAGAUGCGAAAGCGUGGGGAGCAAACA
This 447-nucleotide ribosomal RNA is filed under the name uncultured bacterium. RNAcentral's name for it is "bacterial SSU rRNA". It matches the Rfam family "Bacterial small subunit ribosomal RNA", at positions 335 to 774 of the family's 1533-position model. The record is from RNAcentral.